UACGGGGGGGGCAAGCGUUGUUCGGAAUUACUGGGCGUAAAGGGCUCGUAGGCGGCCAACUAAGUCGGAUGUGAAAUCCCCAGGCUCAACUUGGGAACUGCAUCCGAUACUGGAUGGCUUGAAUUCGGGAGAGGGAUGCAGAAUUCCAGGUGUAGCGGUGAAAUGCGUAGAUAUCGAGAGGAACACCUGCGGCGAAGGCGGGUUGCUGGGCCGACACUGACGCUGAUGCGCGAAAGCCAGGGGAGCGAACGGG
Molecule: ribosomal RNA, 253 nt
Filed under: uncultured bacterium
Lineage: Bacteria
Description: partial 16S ribosomal RNA
Rfam family: Bacterial small subunit ribosomal RNA
Source: RNAcentral